Long non-coding RNA from Sinocyclocheilus rhinocerous, 508 nucleotides. RefSeq lists it as uncharacterized. The record is from RefSeq and is a predicted model, not a curated record. The transcript has 4 exons. Lineage: Eukaryota; Metazoa; Chordata; Actinopteri; Cypriniformes; Cyprinidae.
UUUAAUUUGUCUGUUAAGUUUUUUUUUUUUUUUUUUUUUUCAGCUUCCUGGACAGAAUUGAGUCUGUAGGACAGAGUGACUACACACCAACAGACCAGGAUUUGCUGAGGUGCCGUGUUCUGACUUCAGGGAUUUUUGAAACUCGAUUUCAAGUAGACAAAGUCAACUUUCAUAUGUUUGAUGUGGGCGGUCAGAGAGAUGAAAGGAGGAAAUGGAUUCAGUGCUUUAACGAUGUGACCGCCAUCAUCUUUGUGGCAGCCAGUAGCAGUUAUAACAUGGUCAUAAGGGAGGACAACAGCACUAACCGGCUGCGCGAGUCUCUUGAUCUGUUCUGCAGCAUCUGGACUAACAGGUUUCACAGUUCAACUAUUUCUUGGGAAUUCUCGGUUUCCAUCCCAAGUGCUGCACAAUUACCCUAAAAUACUAAUAUGCAUUUGUAACAAUAUAACGGUCAAUUAUUGUUAUUAGAGGUUGGUGAUAGGGCUUGGCAAUGUGUUAUAUAUUUUCA